This 253-nucleotide ribosomal RNA is filed under the name uncultured bacterium. RNAcentral describes it as "partial 16S ribosomal RNA". It matches the Rfam family "Bacterial small subunit ribosomal RNA", at positions 524 to 776 of the family's 1533-position model. The record is from RNAcentral.
UACGUAGGGUGCAAGCGUUAAUCGGAAUUACUGGGCGUAAAGCGUGCGCAGGCGGCUUUGCAAGACAGAUGUGAAAUCCCCGGGCUUAACCUGGGAACUGCAUUUGUGACUGCAUGGCUGGAGUGCGGCAGAGGGGGAUGGAAUUCCGCGUGUAGCAGUGAAAUGCGUAGAUAUGCGGAGGAACACCGAUGGCGAAGGCAAUCCCCUGGGCCUGCACUGACGCUCAUGCACGAAAGCGUGGGGAGCAGACAGG